This is a long non-coding RNA of Argiope bruennichi, 873 nucleotides long. RefSeq lists it as uncharacterized. NCBI's taxonomy places the organism in Eukaryota, Metazoa, Arthropoda, Arachnida, Araneae, Araneidae. The transcript has 3 exons. The record is from RefSeq and is a predicted model, not a curated record.
AAUACAAACUUAAAAACAACAGUCAAAUUUCUUCUGCCCAUUCUUCUAGAUUGUUGAAAAAAUCAUAUGAUGCUGUUAAAACAUCUACAGUGAAAUCUUCUUUGAAGUACGACCAUUUAAAAUCAUCACCUAUAACUGAAUCUCCAUUGCUGUCAAGCAUUCAAGAUGCAGUUUGCCAUCAGACUUCUGAUGCUACAAAAUAUACUUCUGAAGAAACUGAAACACUUUCAGAUAAUUCUGAAAAAGAGUUAGAGUGGAAUGCAAAUUACUUUGAAAGGCACUAUGUUAAAAUUGUAUCUGAAAAACAAAGGCUUCGUUAUAUAACUGUUUAUAAUGAUGAUGUCCAUGCAUACAACGAGUUAUGGAAACAGAUUUCAGCAGUUCGUAACAAUUUUGUAGCUUUACAAAAGCAACUUGAAGAAUGUGAAAAAGGAUCAGCUGAAUAUCAAAGACUUGAGAAAAAAAUCCAGGAAGAGUAUGAAGCAGCUAAUAAUUUUGAAUAUAAAAAUAAGCGCAAAGAAUCCUUCUAUUUGUAUGGAAAAUUAUGCCAUAUCAAGAAAUUACUAGAUCAGUAUGAUCUAGAACAGAGAAAAUCUAAGUAAAAAGUAACAUGUAUUUCUCCUUUAUUAUUUUCUUAAAUAGCUUAUAGAAUGAAAAUUUUCUAUGAAAAUGUAGAAAAGAUGAUAAGGUCAAAAACGAGUUAAAGCAAUACUGAGGGUGCAAUUUUCAAUGCUAUUCAAAUAAGAAGUUAAUUUUAUUAUAUAAAAUGUUAAACAUGAGAAAUUCUUGAAAAUAUUUUUCUGUUAGUUCAGGGUUUGUAUAUCUAUGCUACAUAUAAUUCCAGAAGUAUACUAUUUAUAUACUAGAAUAUUA